RNAcentral lists this ribosomal RNA (396 nucleotides) under uncultured bacterium. RNAcentral describes it as "bacterial SSU rRNA". It matches the Rfam family "Bacterial small subunit ribosomal RNA", at positions 505 to 898 of the family's 1533-position model. The record is from RNAcentral.
GUGUCAGCAGCCGCGGUAAUACGUAGGGUGCAAGCGUUGUCCGGAAUUAUUGGGCGUAAAGAGCUCGUAGGCGGUUUGUCGCGUCUGCUGUGAAAACGCGAGGCUCAACCUCGCGCCUGCAGUGGGUACGGGCAGACUAGAGUGCGGUAGGGGAGAUUGGAAUUCCUGGUGUAGCGGUGGAAUGCGCAGAUAUCAGGAGGAACACCGAUGGCGAAGGCAGAUCUCUGGGCCGUAACUGACGCUGAGGAGCGAAAGCGUGGGGAGCGAACAGGAUUAGAUACCCUGGUAGUCCACGCCGUAAACGUUGGGAACUAGAUGUAGGGACCAUUCCACGGUUUCUGUGUCGCAGCUAACGCAUUAAGUUCCCCGCCUGGGGAGUACGGUCGCAAGACUAAA